UCAUGCUUGGGUUGGCAUGAUUGGAGGUGAAUGAUUGUGAGGCAAAAUAUCUCUUCAAAGCUUCAUUCUUCUCUUCCUUCUCCUGCAUCAAGCUUGACCAUUCUCUUGGAAGCUCUUACGACUGAAAGCAACCUUCUCCGGCAACUCUUCGACUAGUGUAGAGUACAUCUCCAUUCCUGGCUCACCCAGCUAGGAGGAGCAAGUCCUAACAAUGUGCACAUGUUUUUUGUAGUAGCGCUACCGGACAUGCGUGUCCGUUCUCACUGCGGUCGAAGAUCCAGCUCCGGCUGUUAAUAUUCUGUUUUGUUCCGACUUCAUAGUCGAUGAUUCGGCCUCGUGCUGUUGAUUUCUGUUAUCAGUCAGGGAGAUGUACAUGAGAAGAUCAAGCUUAGGGUCAGUGGGUUAUUCUGGGGCUUCUUCUGUAGUUGUGACUUGUCAUUACCUAUUCUUCGAGGUUGUGAACCUUGUAUGCUAUUUUAUUCCGUACGAGUGAGACUUGUAUCAUGUUUGUGUAUUUUGGCAUGUAAGCUACUUGUGUACUGUCUAGGACUGUCAUAGUCCAUAUCUGUAUUAUCCCUGUUUCUGCGACCCUAUCUGUAGUUGAUAUUAUUGUUUC
Molecule: long non-coding RNA, 616 nt
Organism: Dioscorea cayenensis subsp. rotundata (Guinea yam)
Lineage: Eukaryota; Viridiplantae; Streptophyta; Magnoliopsida; Dioscoreales; Dioscoreaceae
Exons: 3
Source: RefSeq, a predicted model, not a curated record